GCGGCAUGCCUUACACAUGCAAGUCGAACGGCAGCACGGGAGCAAUCCUGGUGGCGAGUGGCGAACGGGUGAGUAAUGUAUCGGAACGUGCCCAGUCGUGGGGGAUAACGCAGCGAAAGCUGUGCUAAUACCGCAUACGAUCUAUGGAUGAAAGCGGGGGAUCGCAAGACCUCGCGCGAUUGGAGCGGCCGAUAUCAGAUUAGCUAGUUGGUGGGGUAAAGGCUCACCAAGGCGACGAUCUGUAGCUGGUCUGAGAGGACGACCAGCCACACUGGAACUGAGACACGGUCCAGACUCCUACGGGAGGCAGCAGUGGGGAAUUUUGGACAAUGGGCGCAAGCCUGAUCCAGCAAUGCCGCGUGCAGGAUGAAGGCCUUCGGGUUGUAAACUGCUUUUGUACGGAGCGAAAAGGUUCUCUCUAAUACAGGGGGCUCAUGACGGUACCGUAAGAAUAAGCACCGGCUAACUACGUGCCAGCAGCCGCGGUAAUACGUAGGGUGCGAGCGUUAAUCGGAAUUACUGGGCGUAAAGCGUGCGCAGGCGGUCUUGUAAGACAGAUGUGAAAUCCCCGGGCUCAACCUGGGACCUGCAUUUGUGACUGCAAGGCUGGAGUACGGCAGAGGGGGAUGGAAUUCCGCGUGUAGCAGUGAAAUGCGUAGAUAUGCGGAGGAACACCGAUGGCGAAGGCAAUCCCCUGGGCCUGUACUGACGCUCAUGCACGAAAGCGUGGGGAGCAAACAGGAUUAGAUACCCUGGUAGUCCACGCCCUAAACGAUGUCAACUGGUUGUUGGGUCUUAACUGACUCAGUAACGAAGCUAACGCGUGAAGUUGACCGCCUGGGGAG
Molecule: ribosomal RNA, 845 nt
Filed under: uncultured bacterium
Lineage: Bacteria
Description: bacterial SSU rRNA
Rfam family: Bacterial small subunit ribosomal RNA
Source: RNAcentral